This 506-nucleotide ribosomal RNA is filed under the name uncultured bacterium. RNAcentral describes it as "partial 16S ribosomal RNA". It matches the Rfam family "Bacterial small subunit ribosomal RNA", at positions 29 to 523 of the family's 1533-position model. The record is from RNAcentral.
AAUGAACGCUGGCGGCAUGCCUUACACAUGCAAGUCGAACGGCAGCAUGACCUAGCUUGCUAGGUUGAUGGCGAGUGGCGAACGGGUGAGUAAUGCAUCGGAACGUGCCUUUUAGUGGGGGAUAACGUAGCGAAAGUUACGCUAAUACCGCAUAUUCUCUGAGGAGGAAAGCAGGGGACCUUCGGGCCUUGCGCUAGAAGAGCGGCUGAUGUCGGAUUAGCUAGUUGGUGAGGUAAAGGCUCACCAAGGCAACGAUCCGUAGCGGGUCUGAGAGGAUGAUCCGCCACACUGGGACUGAGACACGGCCCAGACUCCUACGGGAGGCAGCAGUGGGGAAUUUUGGACAAUGGGCGAAAGCCUGAUCCAGCCAUGCCGCGUGAGUGAAGAAGGCCUUCGGGUUGUAAAGCUCUUUCGGCUGGGAAGAAAUCGCAUUCUCUAAUACAGGAUGUGGAUGACGGUACCAGCAUAAGAAGCACCGGCUAACUACGUGCCAGCAGCCGCGGUAA